Periconia digitata is the source of this 127-nucleotide non-coding RNA. The record is from the annotation of a GenBank genome assembly. NCBI's taxonomy places the organism in Eukaryota, Fungi, Ascomycota, Dothideomycetes, Pleosporales, Periconiaceae.
GUGUCGGUAGUUUAGCGGUAGAAUGCUUGGGCCUUUCAGUUAUUCUGAAUAACACUUUUGCGGCCUGCUCCGGCGGGACCGUCCCCUUCCGGCUCAAGAGACUCGUGUUCAAAUCACGACCGACACC